UGGGGAAUUUUGUGCAAUGGGGGAAACCCUGACACAGCGACACCGCGUGAGCGAAGAAGCCCCUUGGGGUGUAAAGCUCUGUCGGCUGGAACGAAAAAAAUGACGGUACCAGCAGAGGAAGCAUCGGCUAACUACGUGCCAGCAGCCGCGGUAAGACGUAGGAUGCAAGCGUUGUCCGGAUUUAUUGGGCGUAAAGAGUUCGUAGGUGGUUUGUUAAGUCUGAUGUUAAAGACUGAGGCUCAACCUCGGAAAUGCAUUGGAUACUGGCAGACUGGAGUACAGUAGAGGCGAGUGGAAUUCCCAGUGUAGCGGUGAAAUGCGUAGAUAUUGGGAAGAACACCAGUGGCGUAAGCGACUCGCUGGGCUGUUACUGACACUGAGGAACGAAAGCCAGGGGAGCGAAUGGGAUUAGAUACCCCCGUAGUCC
RNAcentral lists this ribosomal RNA (427 nucleotides) under uncultured bacterium. RNAcentral describes it as "bacterial SSU rRNA". It matches the Rfam family "Bacterial small subunit ribosomal RNA", at positions 355 to 796 of the family's 1533-position model. The record is from RNAcentral.